UGCCAUCCAUCGGUCUGGGGGCUGA
Molecule: unclassified non-coding RNA, 25 nt
Filed under: Mus musculus (house mouse)
Lineage: Eukaryota; Metazoa; Chordata; Mammalia; Rodentia; Muridae
Description: oocyte_clustered_small_RNA5532
Source: RNAcentral